Molecule: ribosomal RNA, 702 nt
Filed under: uncultured bacterium
Lineage: Bacteria
Description: bacterial SSU rRNA
Rfam family: Bacterial small subunit ribosomal RNA
Source: RNAcentral
UGGUAGUCCACGCUGUAAACGAUGUCGAUUUGAAGGUUGUUCCCUUGAGGAGUGGCUUUCGGAGCUAACGCGUUAAAUCGACCGCCUGGGGAGUACGGCCGCAAGGUUAAAACUCAAAUGAAUUGACGGGGGCCCGCACAAGCGGUGGAGCAUGUGGUUUAAUUCGAUGCAACGCGAAGAACCUUACCUACUCUUGACAUCCAGAGAACUUAGCAGAGAUGCUUUGGUGCCUUCGGGAACUCUGAGACAGGUGCUGCAUGGCUGUCGUCAGCUCGUGUUGUGAAAUGUUGGGUUAAGUCCCGCAACGAGCGCAACCCUUAUCCUUUGUUGCCAGCGAUUCGGUCGGGAACUCAAAGGAGACUGCCGGUGACAAACCGGAGGAAGGUGGGGAUGACGUCAAGUCAUCAUGGCCCUUACGAGUAGGGCUACACACGUGCUACAAUGGCGUAUACAAAGAGAAGCGACCUCGCGAGAGCAAGCGGAACUCAUAAAGUACGUCGUAGUCCGGAUUGGAGUCUGCAACUCGACUCCAUGAAGUCGGAAUCGCUAGUAAUCGUAGAUCAGAAUGCUACGGUGAAUACGUUCCCGGGCCUUGUACACACCGCCCGUCACACCAUGGGAGUGGGUUGCAAAAGAAGUAGGUAGCUUAACCUUCGGGAGGGCGCUUACCACUUUGUGAUUCAUGACUGGGGUGAAGUCGUA